This 243-nucleotide unclassified non-coding RNA is filed under the name Hevea brasiliensis (rubber tree). The record is from RNAcentral. Lineage: Eukaryota; Viridiplantae; Streptophyta; Magnoliopsida; Malpighiales; Euphorbiaceae.
CGCCACCCAACAAAGUCACCCUCUUUUUUCUAUUUCCGUUGCCGCUAAAUCCGCUGCCUUUCGAUUACUCCGCCGUUUCAACCAUCUUCGCCGUCUCCGCGUCCAUCUUCGCUUAAUUCUCCUCUUAUCUCUCCCAUUUUUCUACUUCUUGGUCUCCCAUCCCAGUCACCCUUUCCUCCUUGACUUCCUAUCCGCCUUCGCUUUCUCCGCUGCUUUAUUAUUCUCUCUAAAUCUCGCUCUCCC